UGGGAACCACUAAGUGUCAGAUAAAGAUGAUGUAAAUUGUUACAACCGGGCCGACAAAAGACUACAAACAUGGCCGCCGCUCACAAACUUACCGGCUACAGUGCCAUCUUCUGGUUGGAUGCCGUCAUGACCGAGGGUAUGCAGGCCCCUCACUCCAGCAAAUGUUACCCACUUAAGGUGAACCCCAAGGAACAAAGGGGAAUGAAAAGGUGGAGAGUUGAAAAUGGACAAGAAAAAGAAGGCAUGUGGACAUUAUAUUAUGAACUAUUGUGGUGGAAGUCAUUCUUCUUAAAGUCAAGCAGAAUUGAAGGAGGUGGUGGGAUUGUCAUUUAUUUCCAACCCCCGAUUCAGCAAACAGUUGGUCUCUGCGGUCAAUGUCAAUGAACAAGGCCCCUGGUUGAAAAGACUGAAAUAAGUGAUGAACUGACACAAAAUUAAAAACCAAGGAGCUGUUGGCACAGAGUCCCCAUCUCGACUUGCCAAUCCAUUCUGUGAAAGCAGAGAACUGGGAUCUUGUAAAAUCAUGGAAGGAAGAAAAGCUGCAACCAAAGUGGACUGGACCCUACCUUGCGUUAUUAAUCACCGAGACAGCAGUACGAACAAAAAAAAAAGGGUGGACACACGCAAGCCGAUUUAAGGGUCCUGUGGAGGCCCCACCGGACAAUAUCAGCCCGUAGACUGUGCGUGAAGGGAAGGAACCAUUGACUUUGUGCCUAUUCGGAUGUUGUAUUAUUCCCAGCGCUGGCCUUCAGAACACAGUAUGACUAGCGAGAGGAGGAUAGGGAGGCGAAGAAUCUGCUGCUAGCACUAGAAAAGGAAGAUAUAGUAUAAUUCAAAAGAUGCGUAGCAAAAAGAAAAAUGGUGGAUUGUGAGAGAAGGGUUAAUAGGGAUGAUUGAAUUAUACUAGAACUCUGAAAAAUAUAACUUAGAAAGAAAUGAGCUUAUCCGCAGAAGCCAGACUGCUAGUAGAAUAAAGUAACAAUAUACAGAACAGAGAGAAAUUCUAGAUAAAAAGUAGCAAACAGAUAACAACUUCAGCAGAAGGCCUUGGGAGUCUUGACGUCAGGAAAUGGUCCGAGACAUUCCUGGACUUUCUCGUGUGAAUGUGGGCUUUAUGUUAUGAUUGGACGAAACUCGAUGGGGAGACCUGAGGUAGUGACCACAGUGAAGAAGGGUAUAAAGAUAGAAAGCAUCUCCAUUUUCUUUGUGCCUCCAGGGGACAUCAGAGGAGAGACACCUAUUCUGCAGAAUAUGAAAUUAAUAAAAACACUUCUUUGUCUGAA
Molecule: long non-coding RNA, 1283 nt
Organism: Leucoraja erinaceus (little skate)
Lineage: Eukaryota; Metazoa; Chordata; Chondrichthyes; Rajiformes; Rajidae
Exons: 2
Source: RefSeq, a predicted model, not a curated record